Non-coding RNA from Pelobates cultripes (western spadefoot toad), 80 nucleotides. The record is from the annotation of a GenBank genome assembly. NCBI's taxonomy places the organism in Eukaryota, Metazoa, Chordata, Amphibia, Anura, Pelobatidae.
GAAUGGGAGGUAGAAGAUUGACAGUUGGUAAAACUGUCAACUGUCAGUUAGUAAAACUGUCAAUGUUCUACCUCCCAUUC